CCGAGUGCGGGCCCUCGCGGCCCAACCUCCCACCCUUGUCUCUAUACACCUGUUGCUUUGGCGGGCCCACUGGGGCCACCUGGUCGCCGGGGGACGCAUGUCCCCGGGCCCGCGCCCGCCGAAGCGCUCUGUGAACCCUGAUGAAGAUGGGCUGUCUGAGUACCAUGAAAAUUGUCA
This 177-nucleotide unclassified non-coding RNA is filed under the name soil metagenome. RNAcentral's name for it is "partial internal transcribed spacer 1". The record is from RNAcentral.